UGGGGAAUAUUGCACAAUGGGCGCAAGCCUGAUGCAGCCAUGCCGCGUGUAUGAAGAAGGCCUUCGGGUUGUAAAGUACUUUCAGUCGGGAGGAAGGUGGUAAAGUUAAUACCUUUGCUCAUUGACGUUACCCGCAGAAGAAGCACCGGCUAACUCCGUGCCAGCAGCCGCGGUAAUACGGAGGGUGCAAGCGUUAAUCGGAAUUACUGGGCGUAAAGCGCACGCAGGCGGUUUGUUAAGUCAGAUGUGAAAUCCCCGGGCUCAACCUGGGAACUGCAUCUGAUACUGGCAAGCUUGAGUCUCGUAGAGGGGGGUAGAAUUCCAGGUGUAGCGGUGAAAUGCGUAGAGAUCUGGAGGAAUACCGGUGGCGAAGGCGGCCCCCUGGACAAAGACUGACGCUCAGGUGCGAAAGCGUGGGGAGCAAACAGG
Molecule: ribosomal RNA, 429 nt
Filed under: Chloroflexota bacterium
Lineage: Bacteria; Bacillati; Chloroflexota
Description: Chloroflexi bacterium partial 16S ribosomal RNA
Rfam family: Bacterial small subunit ribosomal RNA
Source: RNAcentral